UACGUAGGCAGCAAGCGUUGUUCGGAAUUACUGGGCGUAAAGAGUGUGUAGGCGGCGCUCUAAGUUCGGUGUGAAAUCUCCCGGCUUAACUGGGAGGGUGCGCCGGAAACUGGAGUGCUCGAGCGUGGGAGAGGAAAGCGGAAUUCCUGGUGUAGCGGUGAAAUGCGUAGAUAUCAGGAGGAACACCUGCGGUGUAGACGGCUUUCUGGACCAUUGCUGACGCUGAGACACGAAAGCGUGGGUAGCAAACAGG
RNAcentral lists this ribosomal RNA (253 nucleotides) under uncultured bacterium. Its description in RNAcentral is "partial 16S ribosomal RNA". It matches the Rfam family "Bacterial small subunit ribosomal RNA", at positions 524 to 776 of the family's 1533-position model. The record is from RNAcentral.